CCUACGGGAGGCAGCAGUAGGGAAUCUUCCACAAUGGGCGAAAGCCUGAUGGAGCAACGCCGCGUGGGUGAAGAAGGUCUUCGGAUCGUAAAACCCUGUUGUUAGAGAAGAAAGUGCGUGAGAGUAACUGUUCACGUUUCGAUGGUAUCUAACCAGAAAGCCACGGCUAACUACGUGCCAGCAGCCGCGGUAAUACGUAGGUGGCAAGCGUUAUCCGGAUUUAUUGGGCGUAAAGGGAACGCAGGCGGUCUGUUAAGUCUGAUGUGAAAGCCUUCGGCUUAACCGGAGUAGUGCAUUGGAAACUGGGAGACGUGAGUGCGGAAGAGGAGAGUGGAACUCCAUGUGUAGCGGUGAAAUGCGUAGAUAUAUGGAAGAACACCAGUGGCGAAAGCGGCUCUCUGGUCUGUAACUGACGCUGAGGUUCGAAAGCGUGGGUAGCAAACAGGAUUAGAUACCCUGGUAGUC
This 465-nucleotide ribosomal RNA is filed under the name uncultured bacterium. RNAcentral's name for it is "partial 16S ribosomal RNA". It matches the Rfam family "Bacterial small subunit ribosomal RNA", at positions 338 to 795 of the family's 1533-position model. The record is from RNAcentral.